This 448-nucleotide ribosomal RNA is filed under the name uncultured bacterium. Its description in RNAcentral is "bacterial SSU rRNA". It matches the Rfam family "Bacterial small subunit ribosomal RNA", at positions 64 to 507 of the family's 1533-position model. The record is from RNAcentral.
GAGCGGAUGAAGGGAGCUUGCUCCUGGAUUCAGCGGCGGACGGGUGAGUAAUGCCUAGGAAUCUGCCUGGUAGUGGGGGAUAACGUUUCGAAAGGAACGCUAAUACCGCAUACGUCCUACGGGAGAAAGCAGGGGACCUUCGGGCCUUGCGCUAUCAGAUGAGCCUAGGUCGGAUUAGCUAGUUGGUGAGGUAAUGGCUCACCAAGGCGACGAUCCGUAACUGGUCUGAGAGGAUGAUCAGUCACACUGGAACUGAGACACGGUCCAGACUCCUACGGGAGGCAGCAGUGGGGAAUAUUGGACAAUGGGCGAAAGCCUGAUCCAGCCAUGCCGCGUGUGUGAAGAAGGUCUUCGGAUUGUAAAGCACUUUAAGUUGGGAGGAAGGGUUGUAGAUUAAUACUCUGCAAUUUUGACGUUACCGACAGAAUAAGCACCGGCUAACUCUGUG